AUCUACAGCCAAACAACCCUGAACAUAUCCGAUCUCAUCUGAUCUUGGAAGCUAAGCAGAGUCGGGCCUGGUUAUUACUUGGAUGGGAGGCCACCAAAGAAUACCAGGUGCUGUCAGCA
RNAcentral lists this ribosomal RNA (119 nucleotides) under Pteropus alecto (black flying fox). The record is from RNAcentral. Lineage: Eukaryota; Metazoa; Chordata; Mammalia; Chiroptera; Pteropodidae.